This 590-nucleotide ribosomal RNA is filed under the name uncultured archaeon. Its description in RNAcentral is "bacterial SSU rRNA". It matches the Rfam family "Archaeal small subunit ribosomal RNA", at positions 185 to 785 of the family's 1478-position model. The record is from RNAcentral.
GUUUUUAUCUUGUCAUAUUGAUAGGAUCUUGCUCGAUUAUGGUUGUUGGUGAGGUAAAGGCUCACCAUGUUUAUUUUCUAUUGGGGUCGUGAGAGCGGGAGCCCUAAUAUGGGUACUGAUACUGCGACCCAUGCCUUAUGAGGCGCAGCAGGUACGAUUCCUCCGCAAUACACGAUAGUGUGACGGGGUUACCCAAAGUGUUCUUAUAGAACUGUGGCAGGUGAGUAAUGUCCCCUGCUAGAAAGGAGAGGGCAAGGCUGGUGCCAGCCGCCGCGGUAAAACCAGCUCUUCAAGUGGUCGGGAUAAUUAUUGGGCUUAAAGUGUCCGUAGCCGGUUUAGUAAGUUCCUGGUAAAAUCAGGUAGCUUAACUAUCUGUAUGCUAGGAUUACUGCUAUACUAGAGGGCGGGAGAGGUCUGAGGUACUACAGGGGUAGGGGUGAAAUCUUAUAAUCCUUGUAGGACCACCAGUGGCGAAGGCGUCAGACUGGAACGCGCCUGACGGUGAGGGACGAAAGCCAGGGGAGCGAACCGGAUUAGAUACCCGGGUAGUCCUUGCCGUAAACGAUGCAUACUAGGUGAUGGUACGGCCA